CAGACAGGAAGCUUGGGUGCAGGUGGGCUGUGAGCUGAAUGCUUGCAACAGGAUGUUUGGGUGCUAGUGAGCUGUUUGCUGUUGACCCUAUUUCUCAGAACAUUCACUCCCCUCUACCCCUGUGUCUGUUCUUGCCAGCUAAGCUCAUUUCCAAUUUUCUUUUAGCUCCUUAGGGCUCCACAUGCGUGACUUAUUAGAGGAGCAAAAGAAGCCGAAUAUGGAAGGGGAAAGCCUUGGCCUGAUCCAGGGUGCUCUAGAACAAAUUCCUCCCACUGAACUGUCCUGCUGUGGGGCAAGCAGGUCUAUAAGCCAUCUGGAAUUCAUUGUUGGUUUAUGGUGUGAGGGUCCUGCCAGGUUUUGGAAUCAAGGUUAUGCCAGCCUCAUUGAACUAGUUGACAAGUGUUCUUAUUUUUUCUGUUCUCUGGAAGAGUUCAUGUAAGAUUCGUAUUAUUUCUUCCUUAAAUAUUUGAAAGAAUUCACCAGUGAAGACACCUGGGCCUGGAGUUUUCUGGUUUUGGUGUGUUUGUUUGAUUUGGUGGUAAGUAGAAGGUGUGUUUUGAAAUCCUGUCUGUCCCAGAGGCCUUGACACUUGCUGACCCCGCAUAGCUCCACAUGGCUGCUCCUUUGGGAAUCCAGGUCUCUGCUCAGAUGCCAUCUCCUCAGAGAGGUCUUCCAUUACUUCCCCAGCUGAAGCAGCACUCACUCCCCUCAGCUGCACUUUCUAUUUUUUUUUUUUCUUCUUGAGACAAGGUCUCACUCUGUCGCCCAGGCUGGAGUGCAGUGGCUCAAUCAUAGCUCACUGUAGCCUCGACCUCCUUGUCUCAAGUGAUGCUCCCACCUCAGCCCCCCAAGUAGCUGGGACUACAGACACGUGCCACCACACCCGGCAAAUUUUUGUAUGUUUUGUAUAGAUAAGGAUUCGCCAUAUUGCCCAGGCUGGUCUUGAACUCCUGAGCUCAAGUGAUCCCCAACCUUAGCCUCCCAAAAUGCUGGGAUUACAGGCAUGAGCCACUGCCCCUGGCCCUUUCUAUUUUUUUAUAUACAGGCUUAUCACUCCCUGAAAUUAACCUUCCCCAAAAUCUGUUCAUUUGUUUAUUGUGUGUUUGCCCUGUUAGAAUGUGAGCUCCAUGGGGCCAGGGAUCUCAUCAAUUUCAUUCAUUCUGAAUCCCCAGCACUCAGCACACAGCAGCACUCAACAAAUAUUUUUCAAGAGACUAAAUGAAAGGAAGUCAAAUGGAGGCCCUUUCCCCACAAAGUCACAAGAAGCACAAUGAAUCACUUUUAUUUUUUAUUUUUAUUUUUUAUUUGAGAUGGAGUCUUGCUCUGUUGCCCAGGCUGGAGUACAGGGGCGCAAUCUUGGCUCACUGCAACCUCUGCCUCCUAGGUCCAAGCAAUUCUCCUGCCUCAGCCUCCUGAGUAGCUGGGAUUACAGGUGCUCACCACCCCAACUAAUUUUUGUAUUUUUAUUUAUUUAUUUAUUUUUAUUUUUUUCACCAGGCUGGAGUGCAGUGGCAUGAUCUUGGCUCAGUGCAACCUCUGCCUCCCGGGUUCAAGCGCUUCUCCUGCCUCAGCCUCCUGAGUGGCUGGGACUAGACGCACAUGCCACCACAAUCCAGCUAAUUUUUGUAUUUUUAGUAGAGAUGGGGUUUCAGCAUGUUGGCCAGGAUAGUCUCAAUCUCUUGGCCACAUGAUACGCCCAUCUGAGCCUCCCAAAGUGCUGGGAUUACAGGCGUGAGCCACCGUGCCCAGCCAAAUUUUUGUAUUUUUAGUAGAGACAGGAUUUCACCAUAUUGGCCAGGCUGGUCUCGAACUCCUGACCUCAAGUGAUCCGCCUGCCUCAGCCUCCCAAAGUGCUGGGAUUACAGGCAUGAGCCACCGUGCCCAGCUGAACCUUACUUUAAAAAAUGUUUUAAUAGACAUUUUUUUAGAGCAGUUUUAGGAGCACAGCAAAAUUGAGCCAAAGGUACAGCGAUUUUUCACAUACCCCCUGCCUGUACACACGCCUAGCCUCUCCGAUUACCAACAUCCCCCACCAGAGUGGUACAUUUCUUACAACUGAUGAGCCCAUUUGAUGCAUCAUGAUCACCCAGUCUGUAGUUUACAUUAGGGUUUACUCUUGGUGUUGUACAUUCUGUGGGUUCAAGCAAAUUUGUAAUGCCGUGUAUCUAAAAGCCUCAUCUUUUUAAUAAUUAAAGUUGACCAUUGUCUUCACUGAACUUACACAGAAACAAAACCAUGCAAUAUAAUUCUGUAUUCCUUGCCAAGUUACAAUGUCAUUGUGGAACAAAAUGCAAUGAACAUGAAAAUAAGACUUUCUCAGCUUCUUUGUAAAUGGAACUGUUUAAUAUUAUUUUGUUAAUGGGUAGAAUAAAAUGUAAUCUGA
Molecule: long non-coding RNA, 2383 nt
Filed under: Homo sapiens (human)
Lineage: Eukaryota; Metazoa; Chordata; Mammalia; Primates; Hominidae
Description: HSALNT0231746
Source: RNAcentral